Molecule: transfer RNA, 73 nt
Filed under: Anomaloglossus leopardus
Lineage: Eukaryota; Metazoa; Chordata; Amphibia; Anura; Aromobatidae
Description: tRNA-Asn
Rfam family: tRNA
About the family: Transfer RNA (tRNA) molecules are approximately 80 nucleotides in length. Their secondary structure includes four short double-helical elements and three loops (D, anti-codon, and T loops).
Source: RNAcentral
UAGAAUAAAGCUCGCUGGAUAGAGUGUUUAGCUGUUAACUAAAAUGUUACGGGGUCGAGGCCCGUUAUUCUAG